This 306-nucleotide unclassified non-coding RNA is filed under the name plant metagenome. Its description in RNAcentral is "partial contains 5.8S ribosomal RNA, internal transcribed spacer 2, and large subunit ribosomal RNA". The stretch from base 1 to 104 matches the Rfam family "5.8S ribosomal RNA", at positions 51 to 154 of the family's 154-position model. The record is from RNAcentral.
AAAUGCGAUAAGUAAUGUGAAAUGCAGAAUUCAGUGAAUCAUCGAAUCUUUGAACGCACAUUGCGCCCGCCAGCACUCUGGCGGGCAUGCCUGUUCGAGCGUCAUUUCAACCCUCAGAACCCCUUGCGGGAUCUGGCGUUGGGGAUUGGCAUCCAGCCAGCCCCGAAAUCUAGUGGCGGUCCCUCCGCGACCUCCCCUGUGCAGUAGCGAUACCUCGCAGCGGGACAGCGGUCUGACCACGCCGUAAAACCCCCAACUUCUCAAGGUUGACCUCGAAUCAGGUAGGAAUACCCGCUGAACUUAAGC